CCUACGGGACGCAGCAGUAGGGAAUCUUCCACAAUGGGCGAAAGCCUGAUGGAGCAACGCCGCGUGGGUGAAGAAGGUCUUCGGAUUGUAAACUAUUGUCGUUAGGGAAGAUAAAAGACUGUACCUAAGGAGGAAGCCCCGGCUAACUAUGUGCCAGCAGCCGCGGUAAUACAUAGGGGGCAAGCGUUAUCCGGAAUUAUUGGGUGUAAAGGGUGCGUAGACGGAAGAACAAGUUGGUUGUGAAAUCCCUCGGCUCAACUGAGGAACUGCAACCAAAACUAUUCUCCUUGAGUGUCGGAGAGGAA
RNAcentral lists this ribosomal RNA (305 nucleotides) under uncultured bacterium. RNAcentral's name for it is "bacterial SSU rRNA". It matches the Rfam family "Bacterial small subunit ribosomal RNA", at positions 338 to 659 of the family's 1533-position model. The record is from RNAcentral.